This 75-nucleotide transfer RNA is filed under the name Chlorosarcinopsis eremi. RNAcentral's name for it is "tRNA-Val". It matches the Rfam family "tRNA". From Rfam's summary of the family: Transfer RNA (tRNA) molecules are approximately 80 nucleotides in length. Their secondary structure includes four short double-helical elements and three loops (D, anti-codon, and T loops). Further hydrogen bonds mediate the characteristic L-shaped molecular structure. tRNAs have two regions of fundamental functional importance: the anti-codon, which is responsible for specific mRNA codon recognition, and the 3' end, to which the tRNAs corresponding amino acid is attached (by aminoacyl-tRNA synthetases). tRNAs cope with the degeneracy of the genetic code in two manners: having more than one tRNA (with a specific anti-codon) for a particular amino acid; and 'wobble' base-pairing, i.e. permitting non-standard base-pairing at the 3rd anti-codon position. The record is from RNAcentral. Lineage: Eukaryota; Viridiplantae; Chlorophyta; Chlorophyceae; Chlorosarcinales; Chlorosarcinaceae.
UAGGCCCAUAACUCAGUCGGUAGAGUGACUGCCUUACAAGCAGUAGGUCAUCGGUUCAAGUCCGGUUGGGCCUAA